UUUAUUUACACAUUUUUCUAGCUUAAUUUGUGUUUUUGUUAUGUUUUUACAGAAAAGGAAGAAAUUGGGAAGUUAGAGAAAAAGUGAAGAAAAAGCUGGAAAAGUGAUUGGGUCGGAGUGAUUUGGCCAAAUCACUCGCAGAAACUGGCCAAAUCACUCGCAGAGACAGAGACAGAAACUGGACUGAAUCUCAAAAAGCGAUUGGGGCAAAUUGGGCAAGUGAUUUGCCCAAAUCACUCGCAGAAACUGCCCAAAUCACCUUGACAGCAGAAGUUGACAGCAGAGCGGGAAAAGUGCAGAAAUUAGAAAUUCGAAUUAUCAGAAGUCCAAAUCUAACUCAAUCACUACCAACAUAAUUUCAGGAGCCACGAGACAAUUUCUCACCUAAGGAAUUCCUUCUACAAUUAAAAUCCACAUCCAAAGAGGAAUCAAAGACCAAGUCAAGAAGGGAUUUCAAAACCCUAGAUGGAUGAGAUUCUCCAACUAUAAAAGAGCAACCUCCAAACCAGCAAAGGCAUCUCUUUCAGCAUCUGCUAUCCUCGGAAAUUCUCCAGCAAC
Molecule: long non-coding RNA, 558 nt
Filed under: Manihot esculenta (cassava)
Lineage: Eukaryota; Viridiplantae; Streptophyta; Magnoliopsida; Malpighiales; Euphorbiaceae
Description: long non-coding RNA (MESC_LNC012095)
Source: RNAcentral